Molecule: ribosomal RNA, 253 nt
Filed under: uncultured bacterium
Lineage: Bacteria
Description: partial 16S ribosomal RNA
Rfam family: Bacterial small subunit ribosomal RNA
Source: RNAcentral
AACGUAGGACGCAAGCGUUAUCCGGAGUUACUGGGCGUAAAGCGCGGGCAGGCGGUCUUGCCGGUCUGAUGUGAAAUCUCCUCGCUCAACGGGGAGCAGCCAUUGGAAACUACAAGACUGGAGUCUGGCAGAGGUAGGCGGAAUUCCGGGUGGAGUGGUGAAAUGCGUAGAGAUCCGGAGGAACACCAGAGGCGAAGGCGGCCUACUGGGCCAGUACUGACGCUGAGCCGCGAAAGCCAGGGGAGCGAACGGG